Non-coding RNA from Cordylochernes scorpioides, 101 nucleotides. The record is from the annotation of a GenBank genome assembly. Lineage: Eukaryota; Metazoa; Arthropoda; Arachnida; Pseudoscorpiones; Chernetidae.
ACGGCCAUACCACAUUGAAAACACGGGUUCUCGUCCGAUCACCGAAGUUAAGCAAUGUCGGUCAGUACUUGGGAGGGUGACACCUGGGAGUGCUGUAGGUU